Molecule: long non-coding RNA, 482 nt
Filed under: Heterocephalus glaber (naked mole-rat)
Lineage: Eukaryota; Metazoa; Chordata; Mammalia; Rodentia; Bathyergidae
Description: lncRNA (ENSHGLG00000033754.1)
Source: RNAcentral
GAGAGACUGACCUCUUUUGAAAGAACUGCAGCCCUGGAAAUCUGACUGGAGAGGAUGGGGUCUUGCUAUGUCACCCAGGAUGGUCUCAAAUUCCUCGGUUCAAGUGAUCUUCCUGCCCAAGUCUCCGAGUAGCUGGAAUGACAGUCAUAUAAAGAUACAAGAAGAAGAUGGCUGUCUGCAAAUCAGGAAGACUGACCUCACCAGACAUUGGAUCUGCUGGUUGUACCUGGAUCUUGAACUUCCCAACCUUCAUAUAAUUUGUACAUCUCUAGAACAAUACUUAACAGAACUCAGACUUUCAGCCUCCAUUCACAGCCUCUAAAAUCUCUGCUGGAAAUUUUUUUGAUGAUACCAUAAUGACAAAGAAGCCCACCUUCAGGAGAGCUUCCUUCUUGGAGACAUAAAGUUGCAGCUUCUCUCCACAUCCACCUACUUUGAAAGGAAAGACAGAACCUCCAGUCUGGGUGGAGGCUCAGACUUGU